This 370-nucleotide long non-coding RNA is filed under the name Homo sapiens (human). Its description in RNAcentral is "HSALNT0151663". The record is from RNAcentral. Lineage: Eukaryota; Metazoa; Chordata; Mammalia; Primates; Hominidae.
CUGGCCUGGGAGGGAUUUUUCUUUUUGUAAACUUAGCUGUUUGUCCCUACCCCUUUCCACACUGAACUUCCUUAACUCUGUUGUUGUCAUGUGUAAGCUAGGUAGUGGGAUAUUCUGUGGGAAUUGUUGGAGCUACGCCCUAAAUUCUGCUUAUCCUACGUCUACAGGACCUUGGUGUUCCCAUCUGAUUGGCUCUUGGUUCAAAGACCAAUCCGGUUUAGCCAUGCCUUGCUCCAACUCUCCGGGGGUUUCCUGAGUUUCCAUUGCCCACAGGACAGAGCCAGACAUGGUUCAGUGCCUGGCAUCCCCAGGGAGUGUGUUUGGUGAGUAGUUGAAGCAAGUGAGCAAAAGACAGUUCUGCAGAGAGAUU